AUACGGUCACAUCACGUUCGAAGACUAGUUCCCGUACAAUUACGGAAGUUAAACAACGUCGAGCUGGCUUAGUACCCAGAUGGGUGACCACUUUAGAAUAACAGGUGUUGUAAG
Acanthosepion pharaonis is the source of this 114-nucleotide non-coding RNA. The record is from the annotation of a GenBank genome assembly. Lineage: Eukaryota; Metazoa; Mollusca; Cephalopoda; Sepiida; Sepiidae.